GGCUCUGUAGUGAAAUUCAUGGUGAGUUGCAAGCUCAUUGAUGCGUAUUAACUGUGCGCCAGGGUCU
RNAcentral lists this transfer RNA (67 nucleotides) under Edolisoma coerulescens. RNAcentral's name for it is "tRNA-Cys". Lineage: Eukaryota; Metazoa; Chordata; Aves; Passeriformes; Campephagidae. The record is from RNAcentral.